AUGAGCAUAGGCAUUGCCCGAGUUGCAGCGACCGCUCUCUUUUCAUGCUGCUGCCUGAUGGUUGCACUUCCAGCUACUGCUGCUGCGGCCAGAUCAGGUGGCAGCAGUGGACCGCUGUACAACGCCAUCUUCAACUUCGGCGAUUCGGGGUCCGACGCCGGUAACUUAUGUGUUGAUGGCCGGCCGGGGCCUGCAGGCCUGUUGGGCAUUUUCACCCGUCUCCCCUACGGUGUCACCUAUUUUGGGAAGCCCACUUGCCGGUGCAGCGAUGGCCGGGUUAACAUCGACUUCCUGGGUUGCAAGAUGUAUUUGGCCAAAUCCCUGUUUGUGUUUCAGUUGGGGGAGAAUGACUACAGCAUCCAGCUGGUCAAUGGAUCCACAGUAGACGAGGCCAGCAAGAACAUACCCAGAAUAGUGAACACCAUCAUAUCUGGUGUGGAGAAAUUAAUGACACUCGGCGCAGUUGACAUUGUGGUGUCAGACAUCGCUCCGAUGGGUUGCUUUCCAUUUUACCUGAGCAUGUUCGAGAGCUCCAACAAAAGUGACUAUGACAAGUACGGGUGCCUGAGAAACCACAACGCGUUGUUCAAAAGGCACAACUCUUUCCUCCAGAGCAGCCUCCCAAAGCUUCAAAAGAAGCAUCCACGCACACGGAUCAUGUAUGCCGACCUGGCAAGCCACAUCUACCAAAUAGUGCAAGAUCCCAGAAAAUUCGGCUUUGAGACCGCCCUCAUGAGCUGUUGCGGAAAGGCCGGUGCACCGCAUAGAUUUGAUCCAUUCAACUUGUGCGGGAUGAAUGGCUCAAGCGUUUGCCAUGACCCAGGGAGCCACCUCCUCUGGGAUGGUAUGCACCUGAGCGACACCGCUAACAGACGGAUCGCCGAGGGCUGGCUCAGCGGCCCGUACUGCCACCCACCAAUUCUGCAGUGA
RNAcentral lists this ribosomal RNA (930 nucleotides) under Triticum aestivum (bread wheat). Its description in RNAcentral is "partial small subunit ribosomal RNA". Lineage: Eukaryota; Viridiplantae; Streptophyta; Magnoliopsida; Poales; Poaceae. The record is from RNAcentral.